RNAcentral lists this ribosomal RNA (240 nucleotides) under uncultured bacterium. Its description in RNAcentral is "partial 16S ribosomal RNA". It matches the Rfam family "Bacterial small subunit ribosomal RNA", at positions 100 to 334 of the family's 1533-position model. The record is from RNAcentral.
GGACGGGUGAGUAACACGUGGGUAACCUACCCAUCAGAGGGGGAUAACACUUGGAAACAGGUGCUAAUACCGCAUAACAGUUUAUGCGCAUGGCAUAAGAGUGAAAGGCGCUUUCGGGUGUCGCUGAUGGAUGGACCCGCGGUGCAUUAGCUAGUUGGUGAGGUAACGGCUCACCAAGGCCACGAUGCAUAGCCGACCUGAGAGGGUGAUCGGCCACACUGGGACUGAGACACGGCCCAG